RNAcentral lists this long non-coding RNA (1118 nucleotides) under Chloebia gouldiae (Gouldian finch). Its description in RNAcentral is "Erythrura gouldiae (Gouldian finch) lncRNA (ENSEGOG00005015054.1)". The record is from RNAcentral. Lineage: Eukaryota; Metazoa; Chordata; Aves; Passeriformes; Passeridae.
AGCACAGGUUCUCCUGGAAAACUGAUUUUAUCCUGAUCUAUCCCAGUCUGCUGGGCAGUGUUGCUGGAAGAGGGAAGAUCUGCAUUCCAGCAGCAGGGAAUUCCUGUUCCUGACCCUUGUGCUCCAAUGGAUGCUGUGGAAUACAUUCAGGCAGAACUUUUCAAAAAAGAGUUCCAAACAAUAUGAAAGGUUGGAUGGGAAAACAAGUCCUUUCCUUGGAAAAAGCAAAAUACGGGAAAAAAAAUCUACAGCUUCUGUUCUAGGGAGGCAUCAGAGUGCAAAUAAAAACCUGCCUGGAGCAGGACAGCUGGGGGCUGGGGAGCACCUCUGUGUCCAAGAGAUGAGACUGGGCCUGCACCAUCCCAAAACAUCCCAAAACAUCCCAAAACAUCCCCAAGCAGCCCCUCUCCUCCUUGGAGAGCAGAAAUGAGCCCUCAGGAGGCUCCUGGCCACAGCAAAUGCUGCAGCUCUGCCUGGAAAGUUCUCAUUUCCUCCUCUCUUCGCCGUCCCUCCCCAGAUGUCAGCCUGGAGAAAUGACUAAAACAGGCAACUCUUUGUGCAGGGAGCUCUGAAAUGUCCUCAAAGCAAACAGAAGCCCUGGAAAGCCUGGAGUGCCUUUAAAGCAUGGAACAGCAAAAGACAGGGAAUUCUGUGUGACACCUCUGGCUCCAGCUGGAAAAGCCUUUUAGAACCUGGAGGGAAAUGAAUGGGACCCGGCGCGGGUUUGGGGGAAAUAUUCCAGCUCUGUCUCCCCCUUUUUGGGGCUAAGACACUGAAAAUUGGGCACCAAGGCACUGGCCCAGAGCCAGGGCCUGCUAUGGAAGAGCCUUGCCCGGCCCCUCAGCACAUUCCAGAGGCAGCAGGAGCUGUCUGCAGUUCCCUGGUGGAAGAAACGAUGCCCUGAGAGGCAAAGCCCACACCCCUCGUGCCACCAGGGCAGACCAGAGCUGCCAGCUCCAGCUCCUGCCCGAGGAGCACAAACCCCUUUCAGAUGUUCAUUUCAUUAGUAUUUUUAAUCUAUAUUUAUUUUAUUAUCUUAGUAGCUAUAGUUAUAUUUUUAUCUUUUCAUCUAUAGCUCCAUUCUUCUAUUUUGAGUCACUUAUAGAUUUAUUUACAGC